UUUCAGCCUUUCCAGAGUGCGUUUAGUUAUCUAAUUGGACAGCUAAACUUAGUUGAUGAGUUUAUAGCUAAUUGCAUUUUAUUUACAAAUUACUCUUUAGAAUUUUGCUCCUGUACAAGUGAAUUUUAUACAAAUGGAAUGAUGGAAAGCUAGAUUUGAUUUUUAGGCUUUCUGUAGUUGGAGUGAGCUGGUCUUGACCUGAAAGUCCUUCGUCUGCCACCAGUGGAUGCAUGGAGAACAGAGAGGCUUGUCUCCAAAGGCAGCUGAUGAGAACAGAGGAAGGAGCAGAUGAUGGCACCAAAUCCUGCCCUGGAGCUGAGCAGGGCUCAAGGAGCAGCCCCGUGUGGAGGAGCAGAUGGUGCUCUGCAAACUAUCAGCUGCAUUUUGUGGAGCAUUUCUGGAGCUGAGGGACAACUGUCUGGGAAUUUCCAGGUCAGGUAACCUUGCUCACUCUUGUGGAAAGCCUGAGGAGCUCCAGGAGGGAUUUAAAGAAGAGAUCUUCCUCUCCUGUUCAGCUAAUUACGAGCUCCUCCCUUCCAAACUCCUGAUCUCGUCACACAGCCGAAGGCGUCGACGGCAGAGCAGAGCCCGGAUUUGGGAGCUGGCGGUGCCGCGCCGCUGUUCCCGCAGCAGCCGGGUGCUUCUCCCUGUGCCUCUGGAGCCUGCCAUUGUGCUGGGAAGUGGAGCAGGUAACCACUUCAUCAGGCCGAGAUUCCAUUCUCGUGGAGCACGGAGGUUCAUUAUACUCACUUUAUCAGCAGUGCGCUUUACUGCCGAAUCCAUGAGAGAUAUUCAUGUGAAACAUGAGCAGAGAGAGAGGCAUUGCAUCUUUUCAUUAAUAAGCCCUCUUCUGGGAUCCGGCAUUAGCGAGAUUCAGCGGAUCAUAGAGCACAGGGGUAUCAUUUUUACAUGA
This 913-nucleotide long non-coding RNA is filed under the name Cyanistes caeruleus (blue tit). RNAcentral describes it as "lncRNA (ENSCCEG00000010716.1)". Lineage: Eukaryota; Metazoa; Chordata; Aves; Passeriformes; Paridae. The record is from RNAcentral.